RNAcentral lists this ribosomal RNA (243 nucleotides) under uncultured bacterium. Its description in RNAcentral is "partial 16S ribosomal RNA". It matches the Rfam family "Bacterial small subunit ribosomal RNA", at positions 115 to 353 of the family's 1533-position model. The record is from RNAcentral.
GCGUGAGUAACCUGCCCUGGAUGGGGGGACGAACAGUUGGAAACGACUGCUAAUACCGCAUAAGCCCACGGAUCCGCAUGGAUCUGCGGGAAAAGGAUUUAUUCGCUUCAGGAUGGACUCGCGUCCAAUUAGCUAGUUGGUGAGGUAACGGCCCACCAAGGCGACGAUUGGUAGCCGGACUGAGAGGUUGAACGGCCACAUUGGGACUGAGACACGGCCCAGACUCCUACGGGAGGCAGCAUG